This is a non-coding RNA of Dryococelus australis, 72 nucleotides long. The record is from the annotation of a GenBank genome assembly. Lineage: Eukaryota; Metazoa; Arthropoda; Insecta; Phasmatodea; Phasmatidae.
GAUGGUGUGCUGGUGGUUUAACGUGCCUCGUUCCCAAUCAGUAGGUCGUUGGUUCGAUUCCAGCCACCUACU